ACAGAUGAUGGCGACUAUCAGGUAAAACUCCGCAGCCUGAUUCGCUUUCUGGAAGAGGGUGAUAAAGCUAAGAUCACACUGCGUUUUCGCGGUCGUGAGAUGGCUCACCAGCAGAUCGGUAUGGAAGUGCUUAACCGCGUCCGUGACGAUCUGGUCGAUUUGGCAGUGGUUGAAUCCUUCCCAAGUAGGAUUGAAGGCCGCCAGAUGGUGAUGGUGCUCGCCCCUAAGAAGAAACAGUAAGGCAUACAAGUAGUAAACCCGAAUGGUUUAGGCCGUUCGGGCUUUAUUCGCCCAACUGGUUCGUUUUAUUAACAAUGCGAAGUGGAUAUAUUUAAAAUGCCAA
RNAcentral lists this unclassified non-coding RNA (343 nucleotides) under Pragia fontium DSM 5563 = ATCC 49100. RNAcentral's name for it is "Long range pseudoknot". Lineage: Bacteria; Pseudomonadati; Pseudomonadota; Gammaproteobacteria; Enterobacterales; Budviciaceae. The record is from RNAcentral.